UAGGGAAUCUCCCACAAUGGACGCAAGUCUGAUGGAGCAACGCCGCGUGAGUGAAGAAGGUCUUCGGAUCGUAAAACUCUGUUGUUAGAGAAGAACACGAGUGAGAGUAACUGUUCAUUCGAUGACGGUAUCCAACCAGCAAGUCACGGCUAACUACGUGCCA
RNAcentral lists this ribosomal RNA (163 nucleotides) under uncultured bacterium. RNAcentral's name for it is "partial 16S rRNA". It matches the Rfam family "Bacterial small subunit ribosomal RNA", at positions 355 to 510 of the family's 1533-position model. The record is from RNAcentral.